RNAcentral lists this ribosomal RNA (102 nucleotides) under uncultured bacterium. RNAcentral's name for it is "partial 16S ribosomal RNA". The record is from RNAcentral.
CCUUCGGGUUGUAAAGCUCUUUCGGCUGGGAAGAAGGGAGUAAAGGCGAAUAGUCUUUGCUUUUGAUGGUACCAGAAGAAGAAGCACCGGCAAACUUCGUGC